CCUACGGGAGGCAGCAGUGGGGGAUAUUGGACAAUGGGGGGAACCCUGAUCCAGCGACGCCGCGUGAGUGAAGAAGUAUUUCGGUAUGUAAAGCUCUGUCAGCAGGGAAGAAAGAAAUGACGGUACCUGACCAAGAAGCCCCGGCUAACUACGUGCCAGCAGCCGCGGUAAUACGUAGGGGGCAAGCGUUAUCCGGAAUUACUGGGUGUAAAGGGAGCGUAGACGGUUAAGUAAGUCUGGAGUGAAAGGCCGGGGCCCAACCCCGGGACUGCUCUGGAAACUAUUGAACUUGAGUGCAGGGGAGGGAAGCGGAAGUCCUAGUGUAGCGGUGAAAUGCGUAGAUAUUAGGAGGAACACCAGUGGCGAAGGCGGCUUACUGGACUGUAACUGACGUUGAGGCUCGAAAGCGUGGGGAGCAAACAGGAUUAGAUACCCUGGUAGUC
RNAcentral lists this ribosomal RNA (443 nucleotides) under uncultured bacterium. RNAcentral describes it as "partial 16S ribosomal RNA". It matches the Rfam family "Bacterial small subunit ribosomal RNA", at positions 338 to 795 of the family's 1533-position model. The record is from RNAcentral.